RNAcentral lists this ribosomal RNA (204 nucleotides) under uncultured bacterium. Its description in RNAcentral is "partial 16S ribosomal RNA". It matches the Rfam family "Bacterial small subunit ribosomal RNA", at positions 326 to 545 of the family's 1533-position model. The record is from RNAcentral.
ACGCUCGACACCUACGGUAGGCAGCAGUGGGGAAUAUUGCACAAUGGGGGAAACCCUGAUGCAGCGACGCCGCGUGGAGGAAGAAGGUCUUCGGAUUGUAAACUCCUGUUGUUGGGGAAAAAGAGGAUGGUACCCAACAAGGAAGUGACGGCUAACUACGUGCCAUCACGCCGGCGGUAAUCUGAGGCGGGCGUGGACGAAGGC